This 235-nucleotide ribosomal RNA is filed under the name Gracilibacillus kekensis. Its description in RNAcentral is "partial 16S rRNA. Bacterial SSU". It matches the Rfam family "Bacterial small subunit ribosomal RNA", at positions 1 to 216 of the family's 1533-position model. Lineage: Bacteria; Bacillati; Bacillota; Bacilli; Caryophanales; Bacillaceae. The record is from RNAcentral.
CUUUUAUUGAGAGUUUGAUCUUGGCUCAGGACGAACGCUGGCGGCGUGCCUAAUACAUGCAAGUCGAGCGCGGGAAGCGAACGGAAUCCUUCGGGAGGAAGUUCGUGGAACGAGCGGCGGACGGGUGAGUAACACGUGGGCAACCUGCCUGUAAGACUGGGAUAACCCCGGGAAACCGGGGCUAAUACCGGAUAAUACAUGGUUUCGCAUGAAACCAUGUUGAAAGAUGGCUUUU